This 497-nucleotide ribosomal RNA is filed under the name uncultured bacterium. RNAcentral's name for it is "partial 16S ribosomal RNA". It matches the Rfam family "Bacterial small subunit ribosomal RNA", at positions 28 to 507 of the family's 1533-position model. The record is from RNAcentral.
GAUGAACGCUGGCGGCGUGCCUAAUACAUGCAAGUCGAACGGACAGGUGCUGCUCUUGCUCCUCUCUCGUUUGCCGCAGGCGUGUGUGUCACGCGUGUAUACCCUACCUGUCUGUCGGGUAUCAUUUCGGGACACCGGCUAUUAUCCCGUAUAAUCUCUUGCACCACGGUGGUCAAUGGAGAAAUACGGCUUUUCUGUCACUUCUAGAUGCAUCUGCGCCGGAUUAGGUAGUUGGUAAGGUAAAGGCGUACCAAGGGAACGAUGCGUGACCGAAAUGAGGGGGUGAUCAGCCACACUGGGACUGAGACACGGUCCAGAGUCCUACGGGAGGCAGCAGUAGGGAAUCGGGAGCAAUGGGCGAAAGACUGACGGAGAAGCGCCGCGUGAGGGAUGAAGGUCGUCGGAUCGGAAAACUCUGUUAUUAGGGAAGAACAAGUGUGUAAGUAACUAUGCACGUCUUGAAGGUACAUAAGCAGAAAGGCACGGCUAACUAAGUG